GCCAGACUCCUACGGGAGGCAGCAGUGGGGAAUAUUGCACAAUGGGGGAAACCCUGAUGCAGCGACGCCGCGUGAGUGAAGAAGUAUUUCGGUAUGUAAAGCUCUAUCAGCAGGGAAGAAAAUGACGGUACCUGACUAAGAAGCCCCGGCUAAAUACGUGCCAGCAGCCGCGGUAAUACGUAUGGGGCAAGCGUUAUCCGGAUUUACUGGGUGUAAAGGGAGCGCAGGCGGCCUGCCAAGUCUGGUGUGAAAACCCGGGGCCCAACCCCGGGCCUGCAUUGGAAACUGGCGGGCUGGAGUGUCGGAGGGGCAGGCGGAAUUCCUAGUGUAGCGGUGAAAUGCGUAGAUAUUAGGAGGAACACCGGUGGCGAAGGCGGCUUACUGGACUGUAACUGACGUUGAGGCUCGAAAGCGUGGGGAGCAAACAGGAUUAGAUACCCCAGUAU
This 446-nucleotide ribosomal RNA is filed under the name uncultured bacterium. RNAcentral describes it as "bacterial SSU rRNA". It matches the Rfam family "Bacterial small subunit ribosomal RNA", at positions 330 to 793 of the family's 1533-position model. The record is from RNAcentral.